GGGGCUUGCAAAGGGGUGUGCAGUGGGGCUUGCAAAGGGGUGUGCAUGGGGGGUGCAGAGGGUGUGCAAAGCAGCUGGCACAGGGCUGUGCUAAGGGGGUUGCAAAGGAGGUGCAAGGGGGUGUGCGAAGCAGUUUGCACAGGGAUGUGCACAGGGGGUGCAAAUGGCGUGCAAAGGGAUGUGCGAAGAGCGUGGAAGGGGGUCUGUACGCAGUUUGCAAAGGGAUGCGCACAGGGGGAMGCAGAGAGCUGGGCCCAGGGGCUGGCGGGGUGGUCUGCGAAGGGCCGUGCCCGGCUGCACGCGUAGCGUUGCCCAGCUCCUGCGGCAUCGCGCCGCGUGGGCGCGGGUGGGCUGCUUUCCAUACCCCCAUCGCGGGUUGCCCGAAGUGCCUCUGUAAUUACAAAAGCAAAUACUGCCUGUCUUCCCGAGACCUCUUCUUCCUUUGAAUCCAAAAAUAAUCCCCUGCCGGAACCAAUAUUUCACUGAAAAGUAAAUCCAGCCCUUUAAGAGCUGGGAGUUUUUACUGAGAUAACAACAAAAAUGCUGAGGUAGAAAAGGAGGGAAUAACUAAAAAUCUUUCCCCUUGGGUUCUUCCACGGUUUUGCAAACAUGUCUCUGAGUUUGAUAUUUUUUCCCCUCCCUGCAUAAACAAGCUUUUAUGUAGUACUUGCUGUAAUCUUGUUUGCCUCCAUAACCACUCCUAUGAAUGUCAUAAAAAAUUUAAGUCUAAUAUUUUACCACUCCAUGCAAACAGAAUGCGAAUAAACGCUUAUCUUCCGUGCAGGGGAAGGGACGCGAGCGCGGCGGGAGGCAGAGCGAGGGUAACGCUCCCCGAAACCAGGCUUGGUCGGCGACGCUUCGGCCCGCGCCGGUGGAGGAGAAGGAAGAGAACCCGGAGAUGGAGGUUUCCUCAGAAAAGGUGCGGGAAAAAUAGUGAACCGGGAUCCCAAGGAGCGUCGGCAGUGCAGCCCGUCAGACCACCUCUACCGCCUGUUUGCUUACGAGUUGCGAGCAAGUGUGUUAGCUGCAGGUCAGGAAAAGCCCAGAUUUUGGAGGAAAAAGACGACGAAGCAGCGUUGCAUCCCUUUUGUUUCGGGCUGCUCUGGAGAAGGCCCAGCCCGGUGAGYGGCCCUUCUCCCUCGGUACCGUACCCGGCACCAAAGCUGGCGUGCCACGGAAACACACAUCACUGGGGUCCCACGGCAGGUGAGAAAAAAAAAAAAACGUGAUUUUUUUUUUUUUUUCCAUGCAAAACGUUGCCCACCCAAGCUGGAAAUGCCCGUGCGUGACGGGGCUCACUCGUUCGKCGGGGCACCCCAGCACGUGCCGGCACCCCUUGGCAGUGCGCUUCCCCCGGCAGCGCCCGCUUUCCCGAGCRUGUGAGCCGCUUCUCCAAAGUCAGCUCAAUAGCUUUAGGAAAACAACAGGAGCUCGCGGCCUUUUAGAAAUUCAURGCAUAAAGCAUCUUUUGAUUAUUCUGUCUUUUAUUUUCCUAAUAACCAGUCAAAAAAACAUUUUUUAGGGAAAUAAUUGUGUACGGAAAAAAAAAUCAGRUGCUGUUAUUUGCAUAAUUACAAGGAACCUGAUUUUAUCUCCCAGCUUUGUCAAAAUAAAGAGGAAUUAUUUCAYGCCGUAUUUUGGAGG
RNAcentral lists this long non-coding RNA (1644 nucleotides) under Dromaius novaehollandiae (emu). RNAcentral describes it as "lncRNA (ENSDNVG00000016918.1)". Lineage: Eukaryota; Metazoa; Chordata; Aves; Casuariiformes; Dromaiidae. The record is from RNAcentral.